AGGGGUCGGCUACUGUUUUAGGUUAGAGAUCGACAUAUCGUAUUAAGGUUUAAAGAGAUUUUGUUAUAUCACUGGGAUGAGAAUUUUACAAUAUAUAAAGAGAUUAGACAAGGGAACUAGAAACUAACUGAAACAACCCGACCAUUUUUUUUUAAAAACAUAAUUAAAUAUUUUCAUAAAUAUUUAAUUAAGCCAACCAAUAAAGCAACAAUUAAACCGCAAAUCAAAAAUACUAUUUUAUGAAUAAAUAAAUAAUUCAACCAACAAAACCAAAAAUGACUAACAAUCCUAACACAACCCUAAUCGGUUCUAAUAACCAAAACACUAAAAUAAACCAAAUGAGUUUCUAGAUCAUGAUUUCACGAUCACACUUUAUCUUUAUCUGCACCAAAAAGAAAGAGAUGCGUAAGUAUUAUCACAAAUACUUAGUGAGGCGAUCCUCUCAUCUACGAGCUAUACACACAAGCAAAAAAAAGGGGUAUAAUCACAAAUACAACAUAAACAAACCAGUCAUUGAACAAUUCACCCAAAAACACAUUCACUGCACCUACAUAUCAUCACACAAAACAAAUCAUACAAUCCAAUCGCUCAGAUAAGCUCAUGGUCACGCACUCACCUUAACAAAUUGAUUCUAACAACAAUUAAACCCGGGAGAGACUCUCCUUGCGUCUGAAACAGUCCAAAAACGUCCUACAACAAGUCACAACCAAAAGCAACCUUGAAGCAAACUGGACAUGAAAAACAGAAACAAACAGUCUCAAAGACGAAACCCUAAAAAUACAAACCAACUGUUAACUAUCAUAUCCCUCCGGUGAAACGCUAGCCUUAGACGUCACAAAAUUUCGUGCCGAUCGGAAACCAGACGAAACCACGAUUUCAGUUACAAUCCCCGCUUGUCCUAAUUCGCGUCUGAGAAAACGUGUCUCACGAAACUGCAAAUAACUCAACGAAUAUAAAUCCGAAUCCAAUUCUGUAAUAUGGAGAAUGACGAUAAAAGACUUGGUAAUAACUCUACCAAAUUUCGUUACCUUUGACAACGAUUUGAUAUAUCAAAACCGUUUCCUCCCAAACCCUAACGAUUAUGGUUCUUCUCCUUCUCUCUCUUUUUCUCUUUUAUAAAACGAAAAAGGGCUAAGUAAAGCCCUAAUUUCGAGUUUCAUUCUUUUAUAGGCACACUCUAGGCUUUCCAAUUAACUCAACUGAUUAAACCGGACGAUUUAAAUACAAACCCUAACCGAUUUUCCGGUUCACGAGCGUUACAAUUCUCUCCCACUAACAUAGAUUCGUCCUCGAAUCUAGCUUCUCCCUUCCACUCCGAGGAACUCCGUGCAACCAUCACUACGGUCCGCACUCCCUCCAACCCGACCCCUCUAGGUCUCUCUAUCCAGUCGUUAUACUCACGAUUUACUAGUCAUUGUUGCUUACAACUCACUCUCCACUCUCAGACCGCAAUCUUCGAGCAUAAACCGUCACUCUCAGGCCUCGGCCUACGGUAUCUUGGAUAUCACACGUAUUAUCUUCCCCACUCAAAGUCAAACCCUGAUUUGUGUCGGCUCACUCUCAGCCACAAAGUCAUCGAGUUACGAUACUUGGAGAAAAUAGUACCUCAAAACUCGCUCUCGGAUCGUCACCCGAAGCCACCGUUCCCCUCGCACUCUAAAGACACCAAGUCCCUCAAGUUACUGGUACCUCAGGA
This 1696-nucleotide small RNA is filed under the name Arabidopsis thaliana (thale cress). RNAcentral's name for it is "ATSL260730". The record is from RNAcentral. Lineage: Eukaryota; Viridiplantae; Streptophyta; Magnoliopsida; Brassicales; Brassicaceae.